UCGCAUCGCCUGUUUCGCAGAUCAACUGCGUACGACCUAGGUGGAAGACCUGAACGGCGACCGAUGUACUCCUGUACUCGGAAAGUCUCCAAGUCACGUGAAUACAAUUCUGCGUUCAUUGUUUGUGCCCUUCGACUAUAUACUGCUAUGGCCUUUCGGACGACCUCUACGUACACGUGCCCGGCCUCGAUCUGCAUAGCUUGUUUCAACCCCAUCUUAGGCAUCAAUGUCGCCAACCUAUAGAAUGUUGCCGAGAAUACAGCAAAAAUCGGGAGAUGGCGUGUGCGCCUUAAUACAGAGUUGCCGCCUCCACGAGGUUAGUCGUCAUCUGCCCAUACCGAAACCCUUCAUCGUAACUUUGAG
RNAcentral lists this long non-coding RNA (363 nucleotides) under Gossypium barbadense (sea-island cotton). RNAcentral's name for it is "long non-coding RNA (GBAR_LNC019853)". Lineage: Eukaryota; Viridiplantae; Streptophyta; Magnoliopsida; Malvales; Malvaceae. The record is from RNAcentral.